AAUCGUGCCUCCACUGAAAAGCUGUUCUGCAGCUGAUCGGAUCAGAGGGCACUGCUGCGGAGCCCAUGCAGCUCCAGUCCAUGGAAAAACCUGGCUCAUCUCUAGCCUAUAGACCUGCUAUCAGCAAGUAGGGAAUCAAACACACAUAGUGAUUCUUCUUUGCCUUGGUGUAGAAGCUCUGAUUGAGAUGUAUGGACAGAACCCUAACUGGUUGUGGUCGAGCGGGGCGCCUCUACGCCACCACAGGCACCUGGGCAGACUUGGCUCAGCAACCCUGAGGCAAUGGGAGGAUGAGGAGGAGGAAGAAGGAAAAGAGGAAGAACAUGCUAUUUGGACCAGGGAGCAUCCAGCAAUCUGUUGCUAUACUACAGUGUUUGCCAGUGUGGGCGGAUGACUUGUGACUAAGAGCCUUGCCCAAACUCAGCAGGGCCAUUGGCAGGCCAAAGAGACAGCAGGACCAAACACGUGAUACAACGACAGACUGCAACAGAACAGCACCCACCCUUCCAUCCUACCUUAUGUCAUCUCUUCUCACCACACCUCACUAUUAUCGCUCCUCCAUCUCUUCCCUUCCCCUCCUCUCUCAGCCUUCUAUCUCCUCUCCUUACAACUCUUUAUCCACUUUUCAGUCUUCAUCUCCCCCAUUCCCAUGUCUUUGUAUGCUCAUUAAAGUGCUAUCCAACAUAUAGACAUAAUGCCAUUUGCUUGGUUUCUCCAUUCACUUGAAUCCCUUUAGACAUCAUAAAUGGUAUGAACAGAAUAGCUUUUUGUCAAAUGUUCUUAGGUUCUCUCCUUCUCUCCUUUGUCCCUUGUGUCUUCAGAUGGCCAUGGCCUCACCCAAGAGUGUGUUCAGAACCGCUGGGCUGGUACAGAGAGUCCCUUUGGCCCUGUCCACACAGACCUAGUUAGCAUCCAAAGCCAGAGUGACACAAGGCAGGAGGCCCCUGAAAUGUGGAUGGAUGUCCCCCCACACCUGCCCUCCUUGGGUGCUGCUGAUGGAGAAGAAUCAUCCCAGCAUUAUUUAGGCAGUCAUUGGGGGAGCCACAGGACAGAGGGCCAUGGUUGUGUUUGUAUGCAUGGACCAAGAAGAUAUUGCCACAGUUGGGCUGGUUCCCCUCUCUUCAAUUUCGGAGUGAGGAAGACAAUAAUGGUAGGAGUCGAGGUGGAAAUAGUGGAGGAAGUAGCCUAUGAGGACACAGAGACACUUGAAGUAAUAUCAGAAGGAGUGUAUCCAAAUUAUUUGAUGGAACCCAUAUUGCUGCACGAUGACCAGCUUUCCCCCACCUAAACCAGCAUUAUUUCAAAAGUUGUUUGCAAUUGAACUUUAACUGUGUUUUUAAAUGUCAGCCUUGUCUUUUGAAUGUCUUUUAAAUGUAUUUAAAUGUAGUUUAAAUAUAAAAAUGUAUUUUACAAUUUAAUUAUUUUUU
Molecule: RNA transcript, 1427 nt
Organism: Coregonus clupeaformis (lake whitefish)
Lineage: Eukaryota; Metazoa; Chordata; Actinopteri; Salmoniformes; Salmonidae
Exons: 4
Source: RefSeq, a predicted model, not a curated record